UUGAUCUCUCUCACCCUCCCUCCCUCCUUCCCUCCUUCCAUCUAGCUGUACUAGAGGAUCUAACUCUACUUCUUUCCUGAGGACACAGCUGGAAAUUUCUGCACCUGCAUUUUCCCAGAAACCCUGUCGGACUGG
Callorhinus ursinus (northern fur seal) is the source of this 135-nucleotide long non-coding RNA. RefSeq lists it as uncharacterized. Lineage: Eukaryota; Metazoa; Chordata; Mammalia; Carnivora; Otariidae. The record is from RefSeq and is a predicted model, not a curated record.